CGAGUGAAGCGGCAACAGCUCAAAUUUGAAAUCUGGCUCCUUUGGGGCCCGAGUUGUAAUUUGUAGAGGGCACUUCGGCGUUGGCUCCGGCCUAAGUUCCUUGGAACAGGACGUCACAGAGGGUGAGAAUCCCGUACGUGGCCGGUCGCCUUCGCCAUGUGAAGUCCCUUCGACGAGUCGAGUUGUUUGGGAAUGCAGCUCUAAAUGGGAGGUAAAUUUCUUCUAAAGCUAAAUAUUGGCCAGAGACCGAUAGCGCACAAGUAGAGUGAUCGAAAGAUGAAAAGCACUUUGGAAAGAGAGUCAAAAAGCACGUGAAAUUGUUGAAAGGGAAGCGCUUGCAGCCAGACUUGCCUGUAGUUGCUCAUCCGGGCUCUUGCCCGGUGCACUCUUCUGCUGGCAGGCCAGCAUCAGUUUGGGCGGCCGGAUAAAGGCCCUGGGAAUGUGGCUCUCUCCGGGGAGUGUUAUAGCCCAGGGUGUCAUGCGGCCAGUCUGGACUGAGGUCCGCGCAUCUGCUAGGAUGCUGGCGUAAUGGCUGUAAGCGGCCCGUCUUGAAACACGGACCAAGGAGUCUAACAUCUAUGCGAGUGUUUGGGUGUCAAGCCCGGGCGCGUAAUGAAAGUGAACGGAGGUGGGAACCCCCUGGGGUGCACCAUCGACCGAUCCUGAUGUCUUCGGAUGGAUUUGAGUAAGAGCAUAGCUGUUGGGACCCGAAAGAUGGUGAACUAUGCCUGAAUAGGGUGAAGCCAGAGGAAACUCUGGUGGAGGCUCGCAGCGGUUCUGACGUGCAAAUCGAUCGUCAAA
Molecule: ribosomal RNA, 801 nt
Filed under: Polyplosphaeria guizhouensis
Lineage: Eukaryota; Fungi; Ascomycota; Dothideomycetes; Pleosporales; Tetraplosphaeriaceae
Description: Polyplosphaeria sp. XT-2023a partial large subunit ribosomal RNA
Rfam family: Eukaryotic large subunit ribosomal RNA
Source: RNAcentral